This 260-nucleotide ribosomal RNA is filed under the name uncultured bacterium. RNAcentral describes it as "partial 16S ribosomal RNA". It matches the Rfam family "Bacterial small subunit ribosomal RNA", at positions 1066 to 1330 of the family's 1533-position model. The record is from RNAcentral.
CGUGAGAUGUUGGGUUAAGUCCCGCAACGAGCGCAACCCUUGUCAUUAGUUGCUACGAAAGGGCACUCUAAUGAGACUGCCGGUGACAAACCGGAGGAAGGUGGGGAUGACGUCAAGUCCUCAUGGCCCUUAUGGCUAGGGCCUCACACGUCAUACAAUGGUCGGAACAGAGGGAAGCGAAGCCGCGAGGUGAAGCCAAUCCCAGAAAACCGAUCGUAGUCCGGAUUGCAGUCUGCAACUCGACUGCAUGAAGUCGGAUC